Molecule: ribosomal RNA, 36 nt
Filed under: Neoseiulus californicus
Lineage: Eukaryota; Metazoa; Arthropoda; Arachnida; Mesostigmata; Phytoseiidae
Description: partial 28S ribosomal RNA
Source: RNAcentral
AGUGUGACGACCCCCUGAAUUUAAAAGCAUAUAAAU